AUCAAACAGAAAGGUGGUAGUAUUGUAGCCUAUGGGGUGUAUCCGAGGCGCGAUGAUUGCUAGUUGAAAACUUUUCGAAACCUUAAGAAAAGUCGCGCUAUUCUUAAACUAUUUAAACAAGAUGAAU
This is a small nuclear RNA of Lepisosteus oculatus (spotted gar), 127 nucleotides long. It matches the Rfam family "U4 spliceosomal RNA". Rfam says of the family: U4 small nuclear RNA (U4 snRNA) is a component of the major U2-dependent spliceosome. The structure of U4 snRNA from yeast and human has been reported. U4 snRNA presents a k-turn RNA motif in the 5p-SL related to recognition of Snu13 protein. The record is from Rfam. NCBI's taxonomy places the organism in Eukaryota, Metazoa, Chordata, Actinopteri, Semionotiformes, Lepisosteidae.